This 253-nucleotide ribosomal RNA is filed under the name uncultured bacterium. RNAcentral describes it as "partial 16S ribosomal RNA". It matches the Rfam family "Bacterial small subunit ribosomal RNA", at positions 524 to 776 of the family's 1533-position model. The record is from RNAcentral.
UACGGGGGGGGCAAGCGUUGUUCGGAAUUACUGGGCGUAAAGGGCUCGUAGGCGGCCAACUAAGUCAGACGUGAAAUCCCUCGGCUUAACCGGGGAACUGCGUCUGAUACUGGAUGGCUUGAGUUUGGGAGAGGGAUGCGGAAUUCCAGGUGUAGCGGUGAAAUGCGUAGAUAUCUGGAGGAACACCGGUGGCGAAGGUGGCAUCCUGGACCAACACUGACGCUGAGGAGCGAAAGCGUGGGGAGCGAACAGG